GCGCCGUUACCUCAGCUGGAUAGAGGAACUGACUACGAAUCAGUCUGUCAUAGGUUCGAAUCCUAUACGGCGCACCA
RNAcentral lists this transfer RNA (77 nucleotides) under Atopobium sp. oral taxon 416. Its description in RNAcentral is "tRNA-Arg". It matches the Rfam family "tRNA". Rfam says of the family: Transfer RNA (tRNA) molecules are approximately 80 nucleotides in length. Their secondary structure includes four short double-helical elements and three loops (D, anti-codon, and T loops). Lineage: Bacteria; Bacillati; Actinomycetota; Coriobacteriia; Coriobacteriales; Atopobiaceae. The record is from RNAcentral. RNAcentral also lists the same sequence under 1 other name.